CCUACGGGAGGCUGCAGUGGGGGAUAUUGCACAAUGGGGGAAACCCUGACGCAGCGACGCCGCGUGUGGGAAGACGGUCCUCUGGAUUGUAAACCACUGUCCCCAGGGACGAAGAUGACGGUACCUGGGAAGGCAGCUCCGGCUAACUACGUGCCAGCAGCCGCGGUAUUACGUAGGGAGCGAGCGUUGUCCGGAAUUACUGGGUGGAACGGGAGCGUAGGCGGGGCGGCAAGUUGGGUGUAAAAUCUACCGGCUCAACCGGUAGACGCACUCAAAACUGUAGUACUUGAGUGAAGUAGAGGAAGGCGGAAUUCCUAGUGUAGCGGUGAAAUGCGUAGAUAUUAGGAGGAACACCAGUGGCGAAGGCGGCCUGCUGGGCUUUUACUGACGCUGAGGCUCGAAAGUGUGGGGAGCAAACAGGAUUAGAUACCCGAGUAGUC
This 440-nucleotide ribosomal RNA is filed under the name uncultured bacterium. RNAcentral describes it as "partial 16S ribosomal RNA". It matches the Rfam family "Bacterial small subunit ribosomal RNA", at positions 338 to 795 of the family's 1533-position model. The record is from RNAcentral.